CCUACGGGUGGCUGCAGUAGGGAAUAUUGCUCAAUGGGGGAAACCCUGAAGCAGCAACGCCGCGUGGAGGAUGAAGGUUUUCGGAUUGUAAACUCCUUUUGUUAGAGAAGAUAAUGACGGUAUCUAACGAAUAAGCACCGUCUAACUCCGUGCCAGCAGCCGCGGUAAUACGGCGGGUGCCAGCGUUACUCGGAAUAACUGGGCGUAAAGGGCGCGUAGGCGGGAUAGCAAGUCAGAUGUGAAAUCCUAAGGCUUAACCAUAGAACUGCAUUUGAAACUGGUAUUCUAGAGUAUGGAAGAGGUAGGUGGAAUUCUUGGUGUAGCGGUAAAAUCCGUAGAGAUCAAGAAGAAUACUCAUUGCGAAGGCGACCUACUAGAACAUAACUGACGCUGAUGCGCGAAAGCGUGGGGAGCAAACAGGAUUAGAUACCCUUGUAGUC
RNAcentral lists this ribosomal RNA (440 nucleotides) under uncultured bacterium. RNAcentral's name for it is "partial 16S ribosomal RNA". It matches the Rfam family "Bacterial small subunit ribosomal RNA", at positions 338 to 795 of the family's 1533-position model. The record is from RNAcentral.